This 253-nucleotide ribosomal RNA is filed under the name uncultured bacterium. RNAcentral's name for it is "partial 16S ribosomal RNA". It matches the Rfam family "Bacterial small subunit ribosomal RNA", at positions 524 to 776 of the family's 1533-position model. The record is from RNAcentral.
UACGAAGGGGGCUAGCGUUGCUCGGAAUCACUGGGCGUAAAGGGUGCGUAGGCGGGUCUUUAAGUCAGGGGUGAAAUCCUGGAGCUCAACUCCAGAACUGCCUUUGAUACUGAAGAUCUUGAGUUCGGGAGAGGUGAGUGGAACUGCGAGUGUAGAGGUGAAAUUCGUAGAUAUUCGGAGGAACACCAGUGGCGAAGGCGGCUCACUGGCUCGGUACUGACGCUGAGGUGCGAAAGCGUGGGGAGCAAACAGG